AACUCAGGACCCUGUACUUGUGAGGCAGGCGGUGGAACCACUGAGCUACUUCCCCGGCCCUGUUUGUCUCCUUUUCACAUAGCCAGCUGGACUUCAUUUUCUUCAGUGCUUUGAGGCCAAGCUGAGAUUCAGAGAGCUCAGACAGCCUGUCCAAGACUACGCAGAUUGAGGACCUACCCAGCCUCUGUGCAUCGCCCAAGCUGAGAGCUGACUUUCGCAUUCCCCACCGCUGCCUCCCAUGUAUCUGUACUACAAGAAGGACAUUCCCUCCGUGUGGGGAAAUCCCAGAGGCCAGGCUGACCCCCGGGUCGAAGAUGCCAACAACGAGCAGUGACCGAGCGAAGAGCCUCGCAGGAGCACAGGUGACUUCAGGUCGCACCACGUUACAGGUACA
Molecule: long non-coding RNA, 394 nt
Organism: Fukomys damarensis (Damara mole-rat)
Lineage: Eukaryota; Metazoa; Chordata; Mammalia; Rodentia; Bathyergidae
Exons: 3
Source: RefSeq, a predicted model, not a curated record